UUCCGGUUGAUCCUGCCAGAGGUUACUGCUAUCGAGGUUCGACUAAGCCAUGCGAGUCGAAUGUAGCAAUACAUGGCGUACUGCUCAGUAACACGUGGAUAACCUGCCCUUAGGACGGGGAUAAACCCGGGAAACUGGGUAUAAUACCCGAUAGAUCUCGAUUGCUGGAAUGCAUCGAGAUCUAAAGCUCCGGCGCCUAAGGAUGGAUCUGCGGCCUAUCAGGUAGUAGUGGGUGUAGCGUACCUACUAGCCUACGACGGGUACGGGUUGUGAGAGCAAGAGCCCGGAGAUGGAUUCUGAGACACGAAUCCAGGCCCUACGGGGUGCAGCAGGCGCGAAAACUUUACAAUGCUGGCAACAGCGAUAAGGGGACCUCGAGUGCCAGGUUACAAAUCUGGCUGUCGUGAUGCCUAAAAAGCAUUGCAUAGCAAGGGCCGGGCAAGACCGGUGCCAGCCGCCGCGGUAACACCGGCGGCUCGAGUGGUAACCGUUAUUAUUGGGUCUAAAGGGUCUGUAGCCGGCCGGAUAAGUCUCUUGGGAAAUCUGGCAGCUUAACUGUCAGGCUUUCAGGAGAUACUGUCUGGCUCGAGGCCGGGAGAGGUGAGAGGUACUUCAGGGGUAGGGGUGAAAUCUUGUAAUCCUUGAAGGACCACCAGUGGCGAAGGCGUCUCACCAGAACGGACCUGACGGCAAGGGACGAAAGCUAGGGGCACGAACCGGAUUAGAUACCCGGGUAGUCCUAGCCGUAAACGAUACUCGCUAGGUGUCGGCCACGGUGCGACCGUUGUCGGUGCCGUAGGGAAGCCGUGGAGCGAGCCACCUGGGAAGUACGGCCGCAAGGCUGAAACUUAAAGGAAUUGGCGGG
This 865-nucleotide ribosomal RNA is filed under the name uncultured Methanosaeta sp. RNAcentral describes it as "bacterial SSU rRNA". It matches the Rfam family "Archaeal small subunit ribosomal RNA", at positions 1 to 872 of the family's 1478-position model. The record is from RNAcentral. Lineage: Archaea; Methanobacteriati; Methanobacteriota; Methanomicrobia; Methanotrichales; Methanotrichaceae.